UACGUAGGCAGCAAGCGUUGUUCGGAGUUACUGGGCGUAAAGAGUGCGUAGGCGGUUCCGUAAGUUUGGUGUGAAAUCUCCCGGCUCAACUGGGAGGGUGCGCCGAAAACUGCGGGGCUGGAGUGUGGGAGAGGUAAGCGGAAUUCCUGGUGUAGCGGUGAAAUGCGUAGAUAUCAGGAGGAACACCGGCGGUGUAGACGGCUUACUGGACCAUGACUGACGCUGAGGCACGAAAGCGUGGGGAG
This 245-nucleotide ribosomal RNA is filed under the name uncultured bacterium. Its description in RNAcentral is "partial 16S ribosomal RNA". It matches the Rfam family "Bacterial small subunit ribosomal RNA", at positions 524 to 768 of the family's 1533-position model. The record is from RNAcentral.